Egretta garzetta (little egret) is the source of this 113-nucleotide long non-coding RNA. RefSeq lists it as uncharacterized. The transcript has 3 exons. The record is from RefSeq and is a predicted model, not a curated record. Lineage: Eukaryota; Metazoa; Chordata; Aves; Pelecaniformes; Ardeidae.
CAGAGAGGAAAAUGAAGAAGUUCAAUAAGGGCAAGUGUCCAGUGCUGCACCUGGGGAGGUCGAACCCCAUGCACCAGUACAGGCUGGGGGCUGACCUGCUAGAAAGCAGCUCU